CGGCAGCACGGGAGCUUGCUCCUGGUGGCGAGUGGCGAACGGGUGAGUAAUGCGUCGGAACGUACCGAGUAAUGGGGGAUAACGCAGCGAAAGUUGUGCUAAUACCGCAUACGCCCUGAGGGGGAAAGUGGGGGAUCGCAAGACCUCACGUUAUUCGAGCGGCCGACGUCUGAUUAGCUAGUUGGUGGGGUAAUGGCUCACCAAGGCGACGAUCAGUAGCGGGUCUGAGAGGAUGAUCCGCCACACUGGGACUGAGACACGGCCCAGACUCCUACGGGAGGCAGCAGUGGGGAAUUUUGGACAAUGGGGGCAACCCUGAUCCAGCCAUUCCGCGUGAGUGAAGAAGGCCUUCGGGUUGUAAAGCUCUUUCAGCUGGAACGAAACGGUACGCACUAAUAUUGUGUGCUAAUGACGGUACCGGCAGAAGAAGCACCGGCUAACUACGUGCCAGCAGCCGCGGUAAUACGUAGGGUGCGAGCGUUAAUCGGAAUUACUGGGCGUAAAGCGUGCGCAUGCGGAUUGUUAAGCAAGACGUGAAAUCCCCGGGCUUAACCUGGGAAUGGCGUUUUGAACUGGCAGUCUAGAGUGUGUC
Molecule: ribosomal RNA, 592 nt
Filed under: uncultured bacterium
Lineage: Bacteria
Description: bacterial SSU rRNA
Rfam family: Bacterial small subunit ribosomal RNA
Source: RNAcentral